Molecule: ribosomal RNA, 460 nt
Filed under: uncultured bacterium
Lineage: Bacteria
Description: partial 16S ribosomal RNA
Rfam family: Bacterial small subunit ribosomal RNA
Source: RNAcentral
CCUACGGGAGGCAGCAGUGAGGAAUAUUGGUCAAUGGACGAGAGUCUGAACCAGCCAAGUAGCGUGAAGGAUGACUGCCCUAUGGGUUGUAAACUUCUUUUAUAAAGGAAUAAAACGAGGCACGUGUGCCUUUUUGCAUGUACUUUAUGAAUAAGGAUCGGCUAACUCCGUGCCAGCAGCCGCGGUAAUACGGAGGAUCCGAGCGUUAUCCGGAUUUAUUGGGGUUAAAGGGAGCGUAGAUGGGUUGUUAAGUCAGUUGUGAAAGGUUGCGGCUCAACCGUAAAAUUGCAAUUGAUACUGGCAGUCUUGAGUACAGUUGAGGUAGGCGGAAUGCGUGGUGUAGCGGUGAAAUGCUUAGAUAUCACGAAGAACCCCGAUUGCGAAGGCAGCUUACUAAGCUGUGACUGACAUUGAUGCUCGAAAGUGUGGGUAUCAAACAGGAUUAGAUACCCGAGUAGUC